RNAcentral lists this long non-coding RNA (1425 nucleotides) under Macaca fascicularis (crab-eating macaque). Its description in RNAcentral is "lncRNA (ENSMFAG00000060840.1)". Lineage: Eukaryota; Metazoa; Chordata; Mammalia; Primates; Cercopithecidae. The record is from RNAcentral.
GUACAGCACAGAGUACAUUCUUUUUAGUAAUCAAAUAACAACCAAAAAAAGCUAGUUGAAAGAAAAACAGGUUUUUCCAGAUUUGUUAGAUCAUUCUCUUUACUUAAUAAUUAACACAGACCUUUGUUAAAUUUCUACUAAGAAAUCCAUGUAUAAUGUUUGUUUAAUGAAAAAUAAAAUGAUUUUUAGCAAGUUUUUCUCAACUUCAGAAGAUUAAUUUUAUGGGAGGAGAUCUGGAGUCUUUUGUUUUUAAUCCUAGUUUCCCUGAAACACCAGUUAGGUGUUCAUGAACAUACUCAUGUGUUCGCCUUUCUUCCUCAACGUAAUUGUCAGUAAUCUGGCAGAAGCAGAGCCUAAUCUCUGCCAAACAAAAUUCCAGUAUUUAACAAGAAAAUACAUUUUUUAUGCCUUAGCCAAAAAUGCAAAGCCCCUUAUAUAAGCUAAUGGAAUUAAAAAAGAAAUCCUGAGUACCUAGUAACGGGAAAAAGCUAAAGAAACAUUUCCAAGUCACUUAUCUGAAAAAAUUAAAAAUAAACAACACACACACAAAGAAAACUGACUCUCAAAAGUUCACAUAACAAAUAGACAUUAAUAAUUUUGUAUGUAAAAUACGUUUUUGGAACAGUAAGGUCUAUUGUAAGAAAAAUUAAAUUUUGAAGCAAGAUCACUGUUUAAAUAUCUCAAUUUAUUAUAUCCUAUUCUUUCUUUGCAAAUUUAAAUUCUGGGAAAUUACAAGAAGAAAAUAACAGUUUUGAUUUCUCUUGGGUUCUUAUUCUUUGUUUCUGUUUUCUUUUUUAGAGAUAGGGUCUUAGUAUGUUGCCCAGGCUGGAGUACACUGACUAUUCAUAGGGCCAGUAAUAGUGUACUGUAGCCUUGACCGCCCAGGCUCAAGCAAUCUUCCUGCUUCAGCUUUCUGAGUAGCUGGGAAUACAGGUGCACCAACACUCCAGGGACCCUUAUUUACUUUUACCCAGUAUUCUUCCAAUAUUUAGUCAUAAGCCUACAAUUAACAAGUAUAGGCCCAGGCCAGGCGUGUUGGCUCACGCCUGUAAUCCCAGCACUUUGGGAGGCCGAGGAGGGCAUGAGCCACCAUGUCUGGCCAGUUUUCUUUGGUUCUUCUGUGGCACAAUUAUUUUUAAAAUUUCAGAACUAAAAAAGAAUUCAGAACUACUAAUUAUUAUGAAUUAGAGAGGCUGACUCCUUCCAACUCUGAAAUUCUAGCAUUCCAAAUUCAAGGCUCACGUUACACUGAAGCUUUGGCUCUCUGUAGAAAUGCAGGUCUGUUCUGUACAAUCUCAACUUGUUGCUGUUGGGCUAGCACUAAUGAGUGAGCCUUCAAAUACUUAAGUGGAGGAUAGUGUAAUGGCAAUGAGCAAUGUGGGGCUAUGUUGAACUCAGCAGGGAAAGGGUUGCGGAAAAAUUCCC